RNAcentral lists this small nucleolar RNA (101 nucleotides) under Otolemur garnettii (small-eared galago). Its description in RNAcentral is "Small nucleolar RNA U3". The record is from Rfam by way of RNAcentral. Lineage: Eukaryota; Metazoa; Chordata; Mammalia; Primates; Galagidae.
AAGACUAUACUUUUAGGGAUUAUUUCUAUAGUUCAUUAAAAGUAAAAAUGGAAAUGAAUAGAACCAGUAGCUGUGAUGGGGUCACAUGCUGUCUGAAAAGC